AGUGAACGCUGGCGGUAGGCCUAACACAUGCAAGUCGAACGGCAGCACAGUAAGAGCUUGCUCUUACGGGUGGCGAGUGGCGGACGGGUGAGGAAUACAUCGGAAUCUACUUUUUCGUGGGGGAUAACGUAGGGAAACUUACGCUAAUACCGCAUACGACCUACGGGUGAAAGCAGGGGAUCUUCGGACCUUGCGCGAUUGAAUGAGCCGAUGUCGGAUUAGCUAGUGGGCGGGGUAAAGGCCCACCAAGGGGACGAUCCGUAGCUGGUCUGAGAGGAUGAUCAGCCACACUGGAACUGAGACACGGUCCAGACUCCUACGGGAGGCAGCAGUGGGGAAUAUUGGACAAUGGGCGCAAGCCUGAUCCAGCCAUACCGCGUGGGUGAAGAAGGCCUUCGGGUUGUAAAGCCCUUUUGUUGGGAAAGAAAAGCAGCAGGUUAAUACCCCGCUGUUCUGACGGUACCCAAAGAAUAAGCACCGGCUAACUUCGUG
This 492-nucleotide ribosomal RNA is filed under the name uncultured bacterium. RNAcentral's name for it is "partial 16S ribosomal RNA". It matches the Rfam family "Bacterial small subunit ribosomal RNA", at positions 29 to 507 of the family's 1533-position model. The record is from RNAcentral.